CUGCAUCCAGCACAUUGAUGGAGCCAAGAUGGCUGAAUAGGAACAGCUCCAGUCUACAGCUCCCAGCGAGACCAAUGCAGAAGGACUUUCAUCACGAUGUUCAAGAAUAGCAGUAAGAGUGGUCCUAUAAUCCACUGGAGACUUUGCAGCCCAUUUGACAAACUAGCAGUGUCUGGAGAUUAAUGCUUGCUUUCCUUCCUGAGGUCUUCAGCUAAUGGUAGUUUGUGUGUAAAUGCACCAGCUCCUUCUCCUCUCUGAUGGGGUAUCUCUGAGAUAAAACUUUGUACAGUGGCCCCCACAACUCUCUAGUGGGAUUAAGCUAUGUUUCUGUAAGUGAUAGCUUCAUUGAUGCACCUGUUUUAUUGUCUGUCUUCCCCUUCCCUUCUCAUUUUUUUACUCUCCUACCUGUGUUUUCUAGAAUCAUCUUUCAAAUAAAACAAUUAAACUUGAAUGCUUUUUUUGCUGGAUCAGUUUAUUGGGAAGCACACAAAGGCAGGAGUUAUCCUAGGACAUGGAACUCAGGAUGGAUUUCUGUAAUUGAAUAACUUGCUGACAAAAUGGCAAUGUGAAUUCCAC
Molecule: long non-coding RNA, 576 nt
Filed under: Homo sapiens (human)
Lineage: Eukaryota; Metazoa; Chordata; Mammalia; Primates; Hominidae
Description: HSALNT0351542
Source: RNAcentral